RNAcentral lists this long non-coding RNA (201 nucleotides) under Phoenix dactylifera (date palm). RNAcentral's name for it is "long non-coding RNA (PDAC_LNC021645)". Lineage: Eukaryota; Viridiplantae; Streptophyta; Magnoliopsida; Arecales; Arecaceae. The record is from RNAcentral.
UCCAAAAAUAUUAAAAGAGUAAGAACUACAAUGCCCUGUAACAUUGCUAGGGCUUCAUCCAGCCCUAAACUAGACGUUUAGCCGAGCAUGGCUUUCGGACGACCUUCCAUCUUCAAGUGAAAGUCUUCCCUCUCAUUCUUCCCAAAAUAUCACAAACUAUUCUCUUUCCCCCUCCUUUCUUUUUUUUAUUUAUUUAUUUUC